Molecule: ribosomal RNA, 244 nt
Filed under: uncultured bacterium
Lineage: Bacteria
Description: partial small subunit ribosomal RNA
Rfam family: Bacterial small subunit ribosomal RNA
Source: RNAcentral
AGAAUCAACGCUGGCGGCGUGCCUAACAUAUGCAAGUCGCACGAGAAAGGGGAGCAAUCCCUGAGUACAGUGGCGCACGGGUGAGUAACACGUGAAUAAUCUACCUCCGAGUGGGGAAUAACUGAGAGAAAUCUUAGCUAAUACCGCAUAAUACCCACGGGUCAAAGCAGUAAUGCGCUUGGAGAGGAGUUCGCGGCAGAUUAGUUAGUUGGCGGGUAAUGGCCCACCAAGACGAUGAUCUGUA